Molecule: non-coding RNA, 347 nt
Filed under: Deltaproteobacteria bacterium RBG_13_58_19
Lineage: Bacteria; Deltaproteobacteria
Description: bacterial SSU rRNA
Rfam family: Bacterial small subunit ribosomal RNA
Source: RNAcentral
CAACUGGAGAGUUUGAUCCUGGCUCAGAAUUAACGCUGGCGGCAUGCCUAACACAUGCAAGUCGCACGAGAAACCCCGGUUCGCCGGGGGAGUACAGUGGCGCACGGGUGAGUAACGCGUGGGUAAUCUACCUCGGUCCGGGGGAUAACGCACCGAAAGGUGCGCUAAUACCGCAUAACCCGGCGGACCUUUGGGUCUGUCGGCAAAGGUGGCCUCUCCAUGGAAGCUACCGGAUAGAGAUGAGCCCGCGUCCCAUUAGCUAGUUGGUGGGGUAAAGGCCUACCAAGGCGACGAUGGGUAGCUGGUCUGAGAGGACGAUCAGCCACACUGGAACUGGAACACGGUCC